Molecule: long non-coding RNA, 1224 nt
Organism: Mirounga angustirostris (Northern elephant seal)
Lineage: Eukaryota; Metazoa; Chordata; Mammalia; Carnivora; Phocidae
Exons: 3
Source: RefSeq, a predicted model, not a curated record
UUUUAACCAAAAUUAAAUCAAACAUAACAUUCAGUUCCUCCUGUGCACUAGCCGCAUUUCAAGUGCGACAUAGGCACACGCACCUAGGGGCUACUGUAGCGGACAGAGCAGAAACAGAACACUGCCCCUGGAGCAGAAAGGGCCAUUAGACCGUGUGGCUAGAGAGGCCCUCUGGCCAAAGCAGGAGAGGGCACUUCCAUAUGGACAAACCACAGUGGAAGGGGUUCCUCCUGGGGAGGGGGCAUGCUGGCCUCUGAGAAUGGUCAGGCUCCGAACAAUACUGCCCAGGGUACAGAGUAGUGCUCUGGAGUUUCUAAGUCCCCGGGGCUCUCUCCUGGAUCCACUUCUCUGGAGAGGGCCGGAUGAAGGAGCGGGUGUAUGUUACCCGCUUGAAUUACACAGGAAAAGGACCUACAUGUCCAUGUAAUGUCUUGUUCUCUCCUUUAAAGAGCAACCUGUUCUUGAAACGCCUCUGACAAGAGGACACAGAGGUUAAAUAACUUCAGCUAGGGUCAUGGAAGGGAGAGAGAAUAGGUCUAGGAGUUAAUGAAAGAGUCGUGUGUGGGAGAGAAGUUCAUUCCGUGAGAGGUACCUCCCGUCUAAAGAAAACCUGGCAGUAAGAUGUGACAAAUGGAAUUACAGGCAGCUCAAGAAUUACUCGGCCCAGUUCUUCAUGGCCCAGGGUCCGUGGAGGAUUGCAGGUCCUACACUAAGGUUCUUGGGAUUAGUAGGAGGCUAAUAAUAAUAAUGAUAAUAAAAAAUAAAAAUCUUAAAAGUUCAGGUUUUCUUCAGUGCGCAGGGCUUCCCAGUCCCUAGAGGCAAACUAAACCAGCGUCGCCGAGCCAGUCGCUGCCCAGAGGAUAGGACGAACACCCACCACAUCUGAGUCUACGCUCUGACCAGGAUACCUGAUUUUGCCAGCUCUCAGUCCACGAAAGAGGAAUGUUAUAAAACUGCCUCAUCCUCCAUUCCCUGGGCUCACUUUCGGGCAAAGGGAACAGCAGAUCCAUCUGAAAGCUGGGAACAUGCCCAUCAGGGCAAUGCCGAUGGCAGCUGCCAACCACAGAACGGGAAGAACUCUAUUUCGCCUCCAAACAUUCUGACUCUAUCUGGGCAAGGUGCUGACGAGCUUUCGUGCACUGCCAGGCAGACUCGCUCACGGGCUGGGCACAAGGAACCAUGCCCUCUCAUGCUGUCGCACACUUACCACCCAGACGUUGGAGC